This 371-nucleotide ribosomal RNA is filed under the name uncultured bacterium. Its description in RNAcentral is "bacterial SSU rRNA". It matches the Rfam family "Bacterial small subunit ribosomal RNA", at positions 527 to 896 of the family's 1533-position model. The record is from RNAcentral.
AGGGGGGGCAAGCGUUGUUCGGAAUUACUGGGCGUAAAGGGUUCGUAGGUGGCCACUUAAGUCAGACGUGAAAUCCCUCAGCUUAACUGGGGAACUGCGUCUGAUACUGAGUGGCUUGAGUGCAGGAGAGGAAUGCGGAAUUCCAGGUGUAGCGGUGAAAUGCGUAGAUAUCUGGAGGAACACCGGUGGCGAAGGCGGCAUUCUGGACUGUAACUGACACUGAGGAACGAAAGCCAGGGGAGCAAACGGGAUUAGAUACCCCGGUAGUCCUGGCCCUAAACGAUGAAUGCUUGGUGUGGCGGGUAUCGAUCCCUGCCGUGCCGAAGUUAACGCGAUAAGCAUUCCGCCUGGGGAGUACGGUCGCAAGGCUG